This 253-nucleotide unclassified non-coding RNA is filed under the name uncultured delta proteobacterium. RNAcentral describes it as "contains 16S-23S intergenic spacer region". It matches the Rfam family "Bacterial small subunit ribosomal RNA", at positions 524 to 776 of the family's 1533-position model. Lineage: Bacteria; Deltaproteobacteria. The record is from RNAcentral.
UACGGAGGGUGCUAGCGUUGUUCGGAAUUACUGGGCGUAAAGCGCGUGUAGGCGGAAGGAGAAGUCGGGUGUGAAAGCCCUGGGCUCAACCCAGGAAGUGCGCUCGAAACCAUCUUUCUUGAGGUUCGGAGGGGAUCGGGGAAUUUCCAGUGUAGAGGUGAAAUUCGUAGAUAUUGGAAAGAACACCGGUGGCGAAAGCGCCGAUCUGGACGAACUCUGACGCUGAGACGCGAAAGCGUGGGUAGCAAACAGG